AGGACGAACGCUGGCGGCGUGCCUAAUGCAUGCAAGUCGCACGCACGGAGCUUGCUCCGUGAGUGGCGCACGGCUGAGGAUCACGUGGGAACAUGCCUCCUUGUGGGGGACAACACCGCGAAAGCGGUGCUAAUCCCGCAUACGCUCGGCAACGAGGAAAGCGUGCAAACGCGCAGGGAGAGUGGCCCGCGGCCCAUCAGGUUGUUGGUGGGGUAAUGGCCUACCAAGCCAAUGACGGGUAGCGUGGUCUGUGAGGACAGACAGCCAGACUGGGACUGAGACACGGCCCAGACUCCGUACGGGAGCAGCAGCAAGGAAUUUUCGCAAGUGGGCGCAAGCCUAGAACGAGACAACCGCCGCGUGGAGGAUGACGGCCUUCGGGUUCGUAAACUUCCGUUUUCGGGACGAGUAAGUGACGGUACCCGGAAUAAGGCCUACGGCUAAC
This 445-nucleotide ribosomal RNA is filed under the name uncultured soil bacterium. Its description in RNAcentral is "bacterial SSU rRNA". It matches the Rfam family "Bacterial small subunit ribosomal RNA", at positions 26 to 501 of the family's 1533-position model. The record is from RNAcentral.